Molecule: ribosomal RNA, 545 nt
Filed under: Rhodotorula graminis
Lineage: Eukaryota; Fungi; Basidiomycota; Microbotryomycetes; Sporidiobolales; Sporidiobolaceae
Description: eukaryotic LSU rRNA
Rfam family: Eukaryotic large subunit ribosomal RNA
Source: RNAcentral
UAAGCGGAGGAAAAGAAACUAACAAGGAUUCCCCUAGUAGCGGCGAGCGAAGCGGGAAGAGCUCAAAUUUAUAAUCUGGCACCUUCGGUGUCCGAGUUGUAAUCUCUAGAAGUGUUUUCCGCGUUGGACCGCACACAAGUCUGUUGGAAUACAGCGGCAUAGUGGUGAAACCCCCGUAUAUGGUGCGGACGCCCAGCGCUUUGUGAUACACUUUCAAUGAGUCGAGUUGUUUGGGAAUGCAGCUCAAAUUGGGUGGUAAAUUCCAUCUAAAGCUAAAUAUUGGCGAGAGACCGAUAGCGAACAAGUACCGUGAGGGAAAGAUGAAAAGCACUUUGGAAAGAGAGUUAACAGUACGUGAAAUUGUUGGAAGGGAAACGCUUGAAGUCAGACUUGCUUGCCGGAGCUUGCUUCGGUUUGCAGGCCAGCAUCAGUUUUCCGGGGUGGAUAAUGACGGUUUGAAGGUAGCAGUCUCGGCUGUGUUAUAGCUUUCCGUUGGAUACAUCCUGGGGGACUGAGGAACGCAGCGUGCUUUUUGCGAAAGACUC